AAUCAAACUCAUUUGGUUCACCUGCAUGCUGCUGCCCUGCAGUGCCAUCAGGCUCAUGUCAUCCAUCUAUCCUUCAGCAGUUACAUUCAGCACUCAGCCCUGCCCUGCUGACCCGCAGCCUACGUGGCGUCAGGAUCAACAAGCGCCGUAACGACGUGUGAACUUUUGGGCAUUCGGUGACAAAAGCGCCUUUUGGACAGGUGCACCAACCCGCCCCAUCAGCCGGCAUCUGACUCCCUUUGCGAUGCUAAAUAGCUCCAGUUAAAGGCUGAGACAUUCCUUUCUGAUGACUGGCAGCCACCCGGUGCGCGUUUUCAAACACUUUGCGCACCAGCAAUCUCAACACAAGCGAAAUAUGCAAUCAUUUCAAAUGAAACGUAUAACUAAAAGGAGGAAAAAUAUAAAAUUCUGGCCCAAUUAAAACUUUUUUUUUUUUUUUUUUUUUUUAGCGGAACGUGCAGAUUGAAUUUACUGCUCAUUUCCUCCCAGAAUUUCACACCACCCCAAGGCAGGCGCUCAAAUAGCUCCCACUUUACAUCAUCAUUUGGUUCCUGUCUGCUCGCUUAAAUUUUUUAUUUUUUUUUUUUUUUGACCUCGAUUCCCGCAGCGAGGAAGCAGGAGAACAGUGCCGCUCCUAUUCACUCUGAAUGAUCUCCUACUGAGAGCGGAGAGGAGAACAGAUCAGGAUGAACUGAGCUUUUUGUGUUGAGGAGUGGUUAAAGAGGACAGGUCGUUUGUCUCUCCUUUUUUUUUUAUGAACAAAAUGCCUUUUUCCUCAUCUCUGUGUCCGUGUAGAGUGAUAGAGGCUCGAUUGUCUCUGCGGGACCGUUGGAAACAUGUAUGCCUUUUUCAGCCUGAUAUUAAAACAUUUUUUUUUCUGGAAAUAUAAGAAAUAAAUUCAGACUUCUCAGCCGGCACGGGGACGCCCCACCGGAUUUUUGACCCAGCUAAACUAAACUGUAAAUUAAACAGAUAUCAACUCUUG
Molecule: non-coding RNA, 985 nt
Organism: Poecilia reticulata (guppy)
Lineage: Eukaryota; Metazoa; Chordata; Actinopteri; Cyprinodontiformes; Poeciliidae
Source: RefSeq, a predicted model, not a curated record